UCUUCCGGGAGGCAGCAGGGGGAAUAUUGCCACAAUGGCGCCAAGCCUGAUGCAGCCAUGCGCGUGUAUGAAGAAGGCUUUCGGGUUGUAAAGUACUUUCAGGCGGGGAGGAAGGGAGUAAAGUUAAUACCUUUGCUCAUUGACGUUACCCGCAGAAGAAGCACCGGCUAACUCCGUGCCAGCAGCCGCGGUAUACGGAGGGUGCAAGCGUUAAUCGGAAUUACUGGGCGUAAAGCGCACGCAGGCGGUUUGUUAAGUCAGAUGUGAAAUCCCCGGGCUCAACUGGGAACUGCAUCUGAUACUGGCAAGCUUGAGUCUCGUAGAGGGGGGUAGAAUUCCAGGUGUAGCGGUGAAAUGCGUAGAGAUCUGGAGGAAUACCGGUGGCGAAGGCGGCCCCCUGGACGAAGACUGACGCUCAGGUGCGAAAGCGUGGGGAGCAAACAGGAUUAGAUACCCUGGUAGUCCACGCCGUAAACGAUGUCGACUUGGAGGUUGUGCCCUUGAGGCGUGGCUUCCGGAGCUAACGCGUUAAGUCGACCGCCUGGGGAGUACGGCCGCAAGGUUAAAACUCAAAUGAAUUGACGGGGGCCCGCACAAGCGGUGGAGCAUGUGGUUUAAUUCGAUGCAACGCGAAGAACCUUACCUGGUCUUGACAUCCACGGAAGUUUUCAGAGAUGAGAAUGUGCCUUCGGGAACCGUGAGACAGGUGCUGCAUGGCUGUCGUCAGCUCGUGUUGUGAAAUGUUGGGUUAAGUCCCGCAACGAGCGCAACCCUUAUCCUUUGUUGCCAGCGGUCCGGCCGGGAACUCAAAGGAGACUGCCAGUGAUAAACUGGAGGAAGGUGGGGAUGACGUCAAGUCAUCAUGGCCCUUACGACCAGGGCUACACACGUGCUACAAUGGCGCAUACAAAGAGAAGCGACCUCGCGAGAGCAAGCGGACCUCAUAAAGUGCGUCGUAGUCCGGAUUGGAGUCUGCAACUCGACUCCAUGAAGUCGGAAUCGCUAGUAAUCGUGGAUCAGAAUGCCACGGUGAAUACGUUCCCGGGCCUUGUACACACCGCCCGUCACACCAUGGGAGUGGGUUGCAAAAGAAGUAGGUAGCUUAACCUUUUCGCGCGAGGCGGCCG
RNAcentral lists this ribosomal RNA (1127 nucleotides) under Escherichia sp. Its description in RNAcentral is "bacterial SSU rRNA". It matches the Rfam family "Bacterial small subunit ribosomal RNA", at positions 337 to 1456 of the family's 1533-position model. The record is from RNAcentral. Lineage: Bacteria; Pseudomonadati; Pseudomonadota; Gammaproteobacteria; Enterobacterales; Enterobacteriaceae.